Long non-coding RNA from Sinocyclocheilus anshuiensis, 680 nucleotides. RefSeq lists it as uncharacterized. Lineage: Eukaryota; Metazoa; Chordata; Actinopteri; Cypriniformes; Cyprinidae. The record is from RefSeq and is a predicted model, not a curated record. The transcript has 3 exons.
CCAGUCCAACUCUUGGCAGGUACAGAACACUAAAGGACCAUUUUAUUUCUAAAUGAGUCUAAAUGGCGCACCACAAAGACUGAAAAUGCUGCUGCUCUUUCAUUUUAAAUGGAUAUCGGGUUCAUCCUGCACAUAAAAACCCAUCACAGAAAAUGAAUAUAAGCGGUUGGAGAAGAGACUGGAGAUGUGAACUGUCCCUCUGGAACGGGCUGCCAUUAAGUUUACUAAAAAUGUCUGAUGGUUUCGCCCAGACAGUUAGGAGAGCUGUGUCUGAACGGGAUCCAGAUCUCUGACUUCACCCAGUAACAGUUCAAGAUUUUUUCAAAUAAUCAAGAUAAUUUUUCUUUUUAUCUUUCUUUCUUUCUUUCUUUCUUUCUUUCUUUCUUUCUUAGCAUGUUACUAAUGCUGUAAGUCAUACUUUUACACGAUGUCUGCUAGCUUACUCCGAAAAUGUAUAUUCAGUGAAAAUGUAUCUUCCAGUGAUUAUGCAUGAAGAUAAAUUUCAAACCAAAUUCAGCCCAGCAUUUUAUUCUCUUGGGUAUCAUUUGGAUUGUGGCUUUAAAACAUUUCCAGUGCUCCUGAGGAAUAGGAAUGUAUCAGUAAAAUGAGAUAGUUAGCAUGUAUUUCUUAUUACGGAUGAUUUGUAUGGCCAUCUGCCUGUUAUGACUGAACCUCUAGCA